RNAcentral lists this small nuclear RNA (136 nucleotides) under Cervus elaphus hippelaphus. It matches the Rfam family "U1 spliceosomal RNA", at positions 18 to 163 of the family's 166-position model. From Rfam's summary of the family: U1 is a small nuclear RNA (snRNA) component of the spliceosome (involved in pre-mRNA splicing). Its 5' end forms complementary base pairs with the 5' splice junction, thus defining the 5' donor site of an intron. Lineage: Eukaryota; Metazoa; Chordata; Mammalia; Artiodactyla; Cervidae. The record is from RNAcentral.
GAUACUUACGUGAUCAUGAGGGUGAUUUUCCCAGGGUGAGAUUGCACCCAGAUGUACUGCACCCUGGAGUUUCUUCAAACAUGGGAAACUCUACUGCAUAACCUUUGGUAGAAGGUGAUUGUGUUCACACUUUUCC